Molecule: long non-coding RNA, 3888 nt
Filed under: Gallus gallus (chicken)
Lineage: Eukaryota; Metazoa; Chordata; Aves; Galliformes; Phasianidae
Source: RNAcentral
UUUUUUUGCAGAAAUUGUUGUGCAUCUUGUACAAUACUACAAUAGCCCUGGAUAACACUGAUGGAGUUACAUUUACUGAAAACAGAAAACAACCCAUUGCUCACCCUCUUGAUAUUUAGUUAUUUUGAAAGGACAGUGUGCUCUUUUGACAUCUCUUUCCUCCAAGAUUACGUCAUUUUUAAUUAGAAGAGUUGCAAUAAAUACUUUAAAAACAAAAGGAGAAGUUCAUUGGCAAAAAAGAAAGGAGACUAAGUAUGUUUAUUUUAUUUGCCAAGAAUCAAGAGUGAGGAAGUAAUUUUAGCUUUAUUUUAUUUCUGUAGCAGACAGAGGUGCUUUUGAAAUUAGAAGCAAAGGAAUCUCUUUCAAUAAUUUUGACUCUGAAAGCUAAAAUAUAGGUGUAAAGUUGAUCAGUAUAGAAAGCAUAUACAUAAACCUUUUUGCGUGUGCAGUGUAGAUGUUAUAGAAAUAAAUUUUGAUUUCUCUGCGGUGAUGAUUAGGAAAAAUUUAUUCUCCAGAAGAGUGGUCACGCAUUGGAAUGGGCUUCCCAGGGGGAUGGUUGAGUUACCAUCCAUGGAAGUGUUCAAGAAGCAUUUAGAUGUGUUACUAAGUGACAUAGUUUAUUGGAGAAAUAUUGGUGGUAGAUGGACAGUUGGACUUAGGUGAUUUUGUAAGUCUUUUCCAACCUUGGUGAUUCUAUGAUUCUAUCAUCUGUGAAUUUACUUAUUGCAGUAAAGAGUGGUAUUCUUGUAGUGGCUGAUGUGUGCAGAGGUGAAAGCUGCAGUUAAUUAACAAGUGCCUUAAAGUUGAUGAAAAAAGUUCACUAUACAAUAAGGGCAACAAAGGCUACCUGGAAAAGUAGAAAGAAAAAAUAUUCUCCUCUCAAAAGUGAUGAAAAUGACUGCUGAAGGUGGAGUGUGCUGCUUAUUGGAGCGAACCUUCUGAAAUUCUGUAUAAAAACAAACAGGCCAGAUAGGCUGUGUGCUCUUAGACUUUCAUACCCAGUGUGCAAGUGCUGUUCUUUUCUAUGAAUACAGUGCAAGCAAAGCUAUGUUGUUAAUCUCUGUUGACUACUAGGUUUUUUUGCUUUUUUUGGGGGGGGUGAGUUGCCUGUUAAAAAUCAUCGCAAAACUGCGGAUGCAAUCUGUAGGGACAUCUUCAAGUGCAUCAACCUUUUGUGUUUGUUUCUAAUAUAUUUAAUAGAUGUAGGGAGAAUGUGUGCCUAUCUGAAUAGAAAAAUAUACCAAAUUUAUUUUAUCCACUGUUUACUCAAACAGCAACUGAUAAAUAAUACUUUCACAUUUUGCUUGUGUUUUAUUUCUCCCACACCAGGGGCUCAAAAAAAUGAAUGUGUCAGUAAAGGAUUUGACAGUGUGUUACGACAGUCAUCAAUCCAGCAAGCCCUGUAGCCAUAAAUAAGCUUCAUACAGUGCCACACUAAAGAGGACAGUUUUUCUUCUGCAGGACAUUGAAAAUGUCACAGCAAGGGAAUUGUUUGUCCCUGUCGCCACGACAACGCCACCAGCACUUAUCAUUAACUUUCACACCAAGAUUUUAAUCAGCAGUCUUUGUGGCAUAAGACUGAGUCAACAUCAGCCCAAAUUUUCAAAGCCGUUAUUCUAAUUAUGACGAGAAGCUAUAGAUUGAUGAGCUUAGUUUUCUGCAAGGACUGGUGGCAGUUAAUUCCUGUGACCUGUGUGCCUCCAGUAGUCUCUUUUCGAGAUGGAGUCUUGAAAGUUCGAUUAUUAGUGACAGGUUGUAAGUGAGAAGAAGCUUAUCUCUCCAGAGAGUGUUGAUAACUUGAGACAAGGUUUAACUAGGAAGUAGUGAGACAGUAGAUGGCAAAAAAAAAAAAAAAAAAGGAAAAAAAAAGAAAAAGAAUAAAAGAAAGAGUGCCUUUUCUAUCUCUGGCAAGCAAACUGUAAUGAGAAAAUACAGACAGCCACAAUUUCACAAGUUGUAAAUUCUAGUUGCCAUCAGGUUUAUACGUCCCUGAAAAAUGAGAAGAAAUAUGACAUUUUGUUAUGUUAAAAAAAAAAAAAACAAAACACUUACUGCAUCAUUUUCAUGUGUAUUGAGACUGGCCACACCAGUAUUAUCAUUGCUGUUAAUAUUAUUUAUGUGCAAACAGUGUGCUCAGAGCUGUACAAGUCAAACAAGACAACGUGUCCUUGCUCUGAGGGGCUUGUAAUCUAAGUAGACAGACAAUGCAAAAUGCACUAGGAAAACCCAGAGGAGAAUUAUGUCCAAGUUUAUUUCAUUUAUUUGUUCUUGGAGAUGGGUAGGCAAUGUUGUUUUUGCUGACUAGUAUCUGUGUUUGUGGAAGGAGUGAUGUUGGAAAGGUGAGGGCUCAGCAUAUGAAUUGAAUGGAGAAGUAUGGGAACAAAAACGUGCAAAUGGUCUGCAGGAGAAUUUAUUAGAGGAGGGGGGAAAAAAAAAAGCCAGGUAAGUUGAACACCAGUAUAAUUAUUUCCAAAAGAAAUAAGGGAGAAAGCUGCUGACUGUCAUGCGCUUAGGUGCUGGCAGUUCUGCAAUGGUCUCAGUAUUUAGCAAACUAAACAGGUGUGGGCCUUACUCUACUCAUUAAUCUCCUUUUGUCUCUGAUUUCUGUUAAGCAUUACAUAACUUGGGUGAAUUACUAAUUCUGCGGGAUUCCUGACUCCUUCCUCUUUGCAUUUCUGAAAUCAUUUUUGGGAAAUGGAUGUACAGAAGUGAAAUCCUGCUGAGCUGCGUAAGAGAGGCUUUCUUUCAACUGUUCUGAAGACUCCUGAGUUAUUUCUAGGACCUCUAGAUCUAAGUUAAUCAAUAAGGCCAUUGUAGAUGGGUUCAUUCUUAAAUGUAUUCCAAAAAAGCACGAGCCUAGCCAGAUACUACAGUGCCCAGGAGAACAAGAAAGACAGUGAAGAAAAAUAGAGCAGGGGUUUAUAGGUGGCUUAAGGAAAAAGCAAUGACUGCAAAAAGCACUCGAAUAUGUUUACCAUAAUUAAAAGCAGUAAUAGAAAUUGUCUGUUGUGUCCCUGAUUCUCUUGCUCAUUAAAUCAGAGAUGACACUCUUAAGUGCUGAGUCCUGUAAAUAUGAAAGCUGUUGAUCUCAUUUGCUGUGGGAAUGAAUAAACCACUUCAGCUGAAUUUCAGAAGCUGAUUUCUAGAGAGCUUUCAGUUUAUUUAUUUUUUCUCCAAUUGUUUCAUUGCUAUGCUCAGGAAGCAUAGCAGGAAAAAGACACUGGUAUUCACCAGUAUACAGCCUCAUGCCUUCAGCAGAUUGCACCACAAAGACUGUUCUUUUGAAUAAGGGUUUUGAAUGGUCCGUCUGCUUCUGAAGGAUAAGAAGUGUUAGCAAACCAAAUGAAAGCAAGUUUUAAAACCUUGCUGUUUUACGGCAUUAAGUAUUCUGAAAGUACAUAAUACUCUCUCUAAUCUGCUGUAUUUGACUAUCUUGAGCUUUCAAUGAGACUUUUGUUUGAAAGUAUUCAAGUUUUCCUUGUGGACAGAUUCAAAAUUUCAGUGUGGAUGCCAUGUGGGUGUGCAACUCCUGUCCUGCUUGAGGGCUCGCCUCCUGCUGGGCAGUGCCUUUGGCUUAUGUUGAUGGAACUCUGGGCAGAGCAAGGCCUUCAAAGAGGAGGCAUGUCUUCAUCUACUGUUGUUGAACACUUCCUUGAAGAAACACACCAUCAUGCUGUCCUGCCUAUGUCUAUUGCACAGGUUUCAUUGGCGUGACUGUCAUGUUUUCUUUUCUCCCACUUGUCCAUUUCAGCUGUGCUAGCAAAACUUUGUCACUGCUUAAAGCAGUGCAGCUCCAGUGGCUCAAACUUUUUUGUUUAGAAAUUUUGUUAUUAAUUCAGUUUUUAUCAAACAAAAAUGUAAUGGGGCACGUGCGUAUUAGGAGAUGGG